UAUGAUGAUGAUGAUUAUUGCAAUGUGAAUAUACCUUCUUCAUGUCUCUAUUAUUAUUCACAAAAACAGAACAGAACAGAGAAGUGAAGUGAAGUACUAAACAGAACAGAACAGAGACAAAGGUGUUUGAUAUUUUUUUAUGAGUUUCUUCUUCUCUUCUCUUCUCACACCCUUUUUUUUUAUAAAUAUAAUUAUGAAAAUGAAUAAAGAAUAAACAAGUUCUUCUUCAACUGGUCCUCAUUGCUUCCCUUCUUCAGAGAGAGAGAGAGAGAGAGAGAAGGGUUGUAUUGAUUUUGUG
This 298-nucleotide long non-coding RNA is filed under the name Arachis ipaensis. RNAcentral's name for it is "long non-coding RNA (AIPA_LNC000504)". Lineage: Eukaryota; Viridiplantae; Streptophyta; Magnoliopsida; Fabales; Fabaceae. The record is from RNAcentral.